Molecule: ribosomal RNA, 433 nt
Filed under: uncultured bacterium
Lineage: Bacteria
Description: partial 16S ribosomal RNA
Rfam family: Bacterial small subunit ribosomal RNA
Source: RNAcentral
AACGAACGCUGGCGGCAUGCCUAACACAUGCAAGUCGAACGAGACCUUCGGGUCUAGUGGCGCACGGGUGCGUAACGCGUGGGAACCUGCCCUUAGGUUCGGAAUAACUCCCCGAAAGGGGUGCUAAUACCGGUUAAUGUCUUCGGACCAAAGAUUUAUCGCCUUUGGAUGGGCCCGCGUUGGAUUAGCUAGUUGGUAGGGUAAAAGCCUACCAAGGCGACGAUCCAUAGCUGGUCUGAGAGGAUGAUCAGCCACACUGGGACUGAGACACGGCCCAGACUCCUACGGGAGGCAGCAGUGGGGAAUAUUGGACAAGGGGCGAAAGCCUGAUCCAGCAAUGCCGCGUGAGUGAUGAAGGCCGUAGGGUUGUAAAGCUCUUUUACCCGGGAUGAUAAUGACAGUACCGGGAGAAUAAGCUCCGGCUAACUCCGUG